Molecule: ribosomal RNA, 497 nt
Filed under: uncultured bacterium
Lineage: Bacteria
Description: partial 16S ribosomal RNA
Rfam family: Bacterial small subunit ribosomal RNA
Source: RNAcentral
GAUGAACGCUGGCGGCGUGCCUAAUACAUGCAAGUCGAGCGAACAGACGAGGAGCUUGCUCCUCUGACGUUAGCGGCGGACGGGUGAGUAACACGUGGAUAACCUACCUAUAAGACUGGGAUAACUUCGGGAAACCGGAGCUAAUACCGGAUAAUAUAUUGAACCGCAUGGUUCCAUAGUGAAAGACGGUUUUGCUGUCACUUAUAUAUGGAUCCGCGCCGCAUUAGCUAGUUGGUAAGGUAACGGCUUACCAAGGCAACGAUGCGUAGCCGACCUGAGAGGGUGAUCGGCCACACUGGAACUGAGACACGGUCCAGACUCCUACGGGAGGCAGCAGUAGGGAAUCUUCCGCAAUGGGCGAAAGCUUGACGGAGCAACGCCGCGUGAGUGAUGAAGGUCUUCGGAUCGUAAAACUCUGUUAUUAGGGAAGAACAAAUGUGUAAGUAACUAUGCACGUCUUGACGGUACCUAAUCAGAAAGCCACGGCUAACUACGUG